Long non-coding RNA from Camelus dromedarius (Arabian camel), 4860 nucleotides. RefSeq lists it as uncharacterized. NCBI's taxonomy places the organism in Eukaryota, Metazoa, Chordata, Mammalia, Artiodactyla, Camelidae. The record is from RefSeq and is a predicted model, not a curated record. The transcript has 4 exons.
CUCCCUCCGCCCGCCCCCCUGGCAUCUCGGCCGCUGGGCGCGGCGGCGCGCAUGCGCAGCUCUCGGGGCUGGCCCCGGCGCACCUUUUCUCCCUCCUGCCACUUCGUGAGAGCUCCGCCGCCCUUGUAACCGCUGACUCCCGCUCCACCCACGCCGCCCCUACUCCGCCCACUCCCGAGCGCCCAGGACCCUGGGACUUGCCCGAUGUAUCUGAAGCCUUGGUGACUGGUUCUCUGGAAGGCCUUGGGCCUGGCAAGGCAAUCCCAGUUCCUCUGCUCCCCCUUAACUCUUACCCUUCAGGAACCUACCAAGAGAAGGGCGUCAUCCCUUGACAUAUCACAAGAAGAGGGCGUUGGCUCUCAGUCAGCCUGCCUUCUUCAGCUGCGGGCACUACAGCUUAGCAGUCAUGGCAGGCAGGGCUUAGCACCCACACUGGCCUUGUUGAAAGACAAGGCUUCUGUCAUCCUGGUUUCCCGGCCCCGGAUAGUUCCUCACUAACUUUUUCAAUACGUGUGGGCAGAAAUCAACAGGACCCAUUUUUUUUUAAUUUAAAAGCUUUAGUAAAAAGUUCUGUAUACUUUGACAGUUCUGAAAACUUCACAGAUUUAACUGAAACAGCAGCAGAGCUAUCUGGUUUCUAUAAGGUGAGCUUGAUGGCCUGGUACAAGCUCCCUAUUCACUGCAUUUCUUUGCCUCCCAAGUUUCCAGGGGUGUACCCCUAGUCAAUAAUAGUUCUUAACACACGUACUUAUGGAGGGGCAGUGGCCGUGGCUCCCUUCCAACUCAUUAACUAAUAUAACCCCGUCCUGCUGCACCAGACUUGGGGCCAGAGCUUGGUCAUGACCUUCUGGGUCCUCAUUCUUGUAGUGUUGUGACCUUUGUUCAAUCACUUCAUCUUUGAGGCUUUGUGCAAAGAGGGGAUUAUAUGACUCUUACAACCUUCCAGAUCUGAUACCUAGGAUUCUACUCUAGAAAGCUGACUGUGUUUGUUAAUACCUUGUAAUUUCAUUCUUUUCCUAAGAGUUACUAUCCAAUUUUCAUCUCUAAGCCCUUCCUAUAGGAAACUGCCCCUUCUACAGAGUGGAUAAAGCUGUCCUGGUCUCUCCUUUUGUAUUCACUUUUCCCCCCUCAUAUCUCUAAGUAAUAGUGUUUAGAGACAGCCCAGAGAGCUGGACUCUUGGCUUGUCUGCCACAGGGCUUGUCUGUAGACGCACACAUGCGCUCAUGUGUAUAUGUGUAUUUCCAGUCUUAAAGGAAUGUGGUCCUUGGGCACUUUCAUUCUGUGCCCCCUCAGCUCCCACCACCCCCACUUAAAUUCCAGUGAAAAGUUAAAAUGAAUGCCAAGGUGCUCUAGAAGAAAAAAAGAGGAUUCACUAAAAGACCAGAUCUGUGAGUAGAGCUGUUUUGCUUUGGGGAUAGAGAUGAGGGAGGCUACUGAGACAGCCAGUGUCACUUCCGUCUCAAGCUUGGUUUUGGCUGUAACCUGGACCCAACACUUGGUUCACAGCUCCCUACAGCUGUGGUCUCUGUACAUCACCUCUUCUAUUUGAAACAUCUCAGAGUUUGGAGUAUGAUCACUCUGGUGUCCUUGUCAUCAAAAUGCAUUUUAUAAUUUUUUCAAAACAACAGGUCUGUGACCAUUUGUACGAGUCUUUCUUCUCCAGUAGUUCAUUUACUCCUUCCCUCAACCCUGGGAGGUAGGAAGGGCAGGAAAUGUUCUUCCUGCUAUUUUUUAACAGCGAAUUAAAACCAAGGUCCAGAUUUUAAGGGUAACAUGGCCAGAAGUAAAAUCUGGGUCCCCAGGGUCCAAGUCCAGCACUUCUCUGUGACACGAUACUGCAGCCCUUUGCUGGACACCAUACAAAGCAAAUUGAACAGAUGUGGUCUCUGCUCUCUGGAAGUUUGGACUCAAAUGGACAGCCAUGAUUCUGGCAAACAUAAAGGGACAAAAGUGAUUCAAUCAACUCACCUAUGCCAAUAAAUAAAUGGGUUAAAUAGAUAAGGAAAGUCAUAUUCACCUGGCCUACUAAUUUUUUUUUUUAAUUCCAAUUGAGUAGAAAGGACAGUGUUAGUGAGGCUAAGGUUUUAGUCCAGUCCCAUCUGCCUACUUGCUUUGCAAAUGGAAAACUAUUUGUAGCUGCGCUGCAUGCCUCUUCCCCUCCUUGUCUUCAAUGUUCUAUCAACGUUCCUGAAGCUUCUACCAAGUGUCUGUCGAGCAAGAGUCUCUGAAAUAAUGCUUCAAAGGGGCGCAUACAGAAAUGUAGGAGUCCACCAGAUGGCUAACUAGAUGGCUAAACCACUUCGAUGGGAGAUCUCAAGUCCCGCCUGACAGCACCAGACUGCACAGUAUGCUGCAUGGAGAGUGGCCUGGAGAUGACCAGGAAGUGACCAUCUGCUGGAAGCCCUAACUGGUGGCAGGGCUGAGCCUCAACCAGCAGACAAGAGAUCUCAGGGAAGAAAGCUUAAGACAGAACAUCACCUACUCUCUAAUAUUAUCCAGCACUCAGAUGGACCCCCAGCUGAGAGUGGGAACAGACAGGGGCAACUUCCAUCCCUCGUUUCAUUUCGCCAACAGAGAGGAAGAGGUGAGCGCUCCAUUGAGAAACAUGGUGCUGUUCAGAGGGGCUGUGUGUUCCUCCUGUGCCAGAGAAUCCCCUGGUGCCUGGGGACCUCCUUCCCUAUCGUGUUGGGUGUUGAUGGUCCUGUGGAAAUGGACCCCCUAUGAAGCUAGGUUCUGCUCUGUGUGGCGUUGACCAUGAAUGUCUUUUUCCUGACUGGAUUGUGUUCUCAGCACGUACUGGGCACCAAGAUGUUCCCAAUUUAUUGAGUACUUUCCACUGUCCUGUUUCACCUCUUAUCCCACGCAGUCCUUCCAACUGCUCUUUGAGUAGAUAUCUCCAUUUCACAGAUGAGGAAACCGAGAGAGAGAGAAAUGAAGUAGGAAACGAUGUAAGGUCACAUUAAGUCUCACGUGGCAGGCUCGGGAUUGAACCCAGGUAGUCAGACUCCUAAGCCUGCUCUUUUAACCAUAAUGCUAUACUGCCCAGAACUCUAAUUCCGUCACCCCACUCUCCUGCUCAGAAUUCUUGAGGUGGGGAGGGUAUAGCUCAGUGGUAGUGUGCAUGCCUGGCAUGCAUGAGGUCCUGGAUUCAAUCCCCAGUACCUCCAUUAAAAAAAAAAAAAAAAAGAAUUCUUGAGUGGCUUAUUCUGUGAUAAACAGGUUAAUGGAGCCCUAAAGAUGUCCACAUCCUAAACCCUGGAACCUGUGAAUAUGUUACCUUACCUUGGUAAAAGGGACUUUGCAGAUGGGAUAAAGUUAAGGAUCUUGAAAUUCGGACCUUAGCCUGGAUUAUCCGAUGGGUCCAAUCUAACCACAAAGGUACUUCAAGGAGAGGCUGGAGCAUUAGAGUCCGACAAGGAGAUGUGACCAUGGAAGCAGAGGGCAGAAUGGUAUGGCUGCUGGCUUUGAAGAUGGGAGAAGAACAUGAGCCAAGAAAUGUGGGCAGUUUCUAGAAACUGGAGCGGGUGUAGAACUGACUCUCCCCAAGAGCCUCCAGGAGGAACACAUCCUACUGAUGCCCUGAUGUUGGCCCAGUGCAACUUCUGACCUCCAGAACUGUCAGUAAACCUGUGUUGUCUGAAGCCACUAGGUUUGUGGUUAUUUGUUACAGCAGCAGCCAGAAACUAAUACAGCUCCCCUUGCUUAAAGGGAAAUCUGAACUGCUUUACAAGGCAAUCAAGGGCCCCAUGUUCUCUUCCCCUUGGCUGACUGCCUAGCUGUUAGCUCAUGGCCACCCCACUCCCACCCCCACCACGCUCUACACACUGAACUUCGUCAGGAUCCUCAGCAGGACAUGUCCUUUCUUACGUCAAUGCCUUCGCUUGUGCUGUCUCUUCCACCUGGAACACCCUCUUCUCACUUGUUUGCCUGGCAAACUCCUCAUCCUUUAUGUCUCAGCUAAAACAAUACCUCCUCUGUGAAGCUUUUCCUCCUUCCCCCAAAGGAACGUAGGGCUCCUUUCCUGCAUUUCAUGCCUCUGCCUCAUUUCAUGUGCACUCCCAUCAAAGCCGUAUUUUAAGGACCCAUCUGUUCCCUUCCUGAAUUAUAAGCUAUUUGAGGGCACAGGACCUCUCUUUCCACCUUUAUCCUCCCUUAGCACCUAGCAGGGUCCCCAGCACCUAGCAAGGUGCCCAGCACAUCAAAUAAAGUUCUCCAGAGACUAGAGCUCCUUUCGUGACCUGUGCCCUGGACCAGUGAUGCAGCUUCCCCAGCCCCAUUUCUCCAUCGAUAACAAGCACUGGGGGCAUCAUCCCUUCCCUUCUCUACUGAGAGAUGAAGACAAAGGAAAGCAGACAUGGAAGUGUUUCAAAUUCAAAAAGAAAAGGCGCUAAUCAAAGUUGUAAUAUUCCAUUUGUACCCGCGGUGUACAAUGCUUCCUCUCCAAGUCUCAAUUUCUUCAGCUGGGAAAUGGGUCUAGAGGCAAGCUGCACCAAAGACGGGAACUGUGGCCGCUUCCCCUCCCUACUGUAUCCCCAUCUACACUGCUCUUUACUCUCGGGUGAAUUCUCUGAUGUUGGUUGGUGAAGACCCUGAGGGAAGUUCUUCCACAUUCUUUGGAUUCAUGGUUCUCUCUAAUGUACACGCUGAUAUUGGGUAUCGUCUUGAGCAGAGGGUUCCCCACAGUCACCUUCUUUGUAUCUGAGCUCUGUGACACUGAGUCACAUGUGCCUUCCAAGCCUCCAGACUCACCUGAGGGUUCUCCCGCGGACGACAGAUACAAGUUUCCCUCCGGCAGGAAUUCUCUGACGUUGUGUAUGGUGGUUGUAUAAAGAUGGUGUAUAAAGGAAGGCUUAUUCACA